This 336-nucleotide ribosomal RNA is filed under the name Pseudoxenodon karlschmidti. RNAcentral describes it as "partial 12S ribosomal RNA". Lineage: Eukaryota; Metazoa; Chordata; Lepidosauria; Squamata; Pseudoxenodontidae. The record is from RNAcentral.
AAAGACUUGACGGUACUUCACAACAACCUAGAGGAGCCUGUCCAAUAACCGAUACCCCACGAUUAAUUCUACCUGCCCUAGCCNUAACAGUCUAUAUACCGCCGUCGCCAGCUUACCUUAUGAAAGAAACAAAGUGAGCCCAAUAACAACACAUUAACACGACAGGUCGAGGUGUAACUAAUGAGCAGGCCAAAGAUGGGCUACAUUUUCUUAAACAGAAAAUACGAACNCAACUAUGAAAUUAGAAACUGAAGGCGGAUUUAGCAGUAAGCUAACAAUAAAAUACUUAGCUAAAACCACAGCAAUGAAGUGCGUACACACCGCCCGUCAUCCCUG